RNAcentral lists this ribosomal RNA (1273 nucleotides) under metagenome. RNAcentral's name for it is "bacterial SSU rRNA". It matches the Rfam family "Bacterial small subunit ribosomal RNA", at positions 217 to 1498 of the family's 1533-position model. The record is from RNAcentral.
GCUUAUGGAUGGGCUUGCGUCUGAUUAGUUAGUUGGCGGGGUAACGGCCCACCAAGACGACGAUCAGUAACUGGUCUGAGAGGAUGAUCAGUCACACUGGCACUGAGACACGGGCCAGACUCCUACGGGAGGCAGCAGUAGGGAAUAUUGGGCAAUGGGCGCAAGCCUGACCCAGCCAUGCCGCGUGCGGGAUGAAGGAGCUUCGCUUCGUAAACCGCUUUUAAUUGGGACUAAGGGGUUUGUAACUCAAGCCAUUGCAGGUACCAAAGGAAUAAGGACCGGCUAACUACGUGCCAGCAGCCGCGGUAAUACGUAGGGUCCAAGCGUUGUCCGGAUUUACUGGGUUUAAAGGGUGCGUAGGCGGCUGUUUAAGUCGGUGAUGAAAUGCCGGGGCUUAACCUUAGGCGCUGUUACCGAUACUGGACGGCUAGAGCUAGGUAAGGCAGCUGGAAUAAGUGGUGUAGCGGUGAAAUGCGUAGAGAUCACUUAGAACACCGAUUGCGUAGGCAGGUUGCUGGCGCUAAGCUGACGCUGAGGCACGAAGGCAUGGGGAUCAAACAGGAUUAGAUACCCUGGUAGUCCAUGCAGUAAACGAUGGAUACUAGCUAUUUGGGAUGCAAGUCUUGAGUGGCCAAGCGAAAGUGUUAAGUAUCCCACCUGGGAAGUACGCCCGCAAGGGUGAAACUCAAAGAAAUUGACGGGGGCCCGCACAAGCGGUGGAGUAUGUGGUUUAAUUCGAUGGUACGCGAGGAACCUUACCUGGGCUAGAAUGCGCGCGACCGGCUCAGAGAUGGGUUUUCCCCGCAAGGGGCGCAAAGCAAGGCGCUGCAUGGCUGUCGUCAGCUCGUGCCGUGAGGUGUUGGGUUAAGUCCCGCAACGAGCGCAACCCCUGUGAUUAGUUGCCAGCGCGUCAUGGCGGGGACUCUAAUCAGACUGCCUUCGUAAGGUUGAGGAAGGGGGGGACGACGUCAAGUCAUCAUGGCCCUUACGCCCAGGGCUACACACGUACUACAAUGGUCGGUACAAAGGGCAGCAAGACCGCGAGGUGGAGCGAAUCCCAAAAAGCCGAUCUCAGUUCGGAUUGGAGUCUGCAACUCGACUCCAUGAAGUUGGAAUCGCUAGUAAUCGCGUAUCAGCAACGACGCGGUGAAUACGUUCCCGGGCCUUGUACACACCGCCCGUCAAGCCACGGAAGCUGGGGGCGCCUGAAGUCGGGGGAUCAAAUCCCUGCCGAGGGCGAAACUGGUAACUGGGGCUAAGUCGGAACAAGGUA